UGCAGUCGAGGGGCAGCAUGCGGAUUGCUUGCAAUCCGCGAUGGCGACCGGCGCACGGGUGAGUAACGCGUAUCCAACCUUCCCUACACUUCGGUAUAACCCGGCGAAAGUCGGACUAAUUCCGAAUGGUCUCCUUUGACGGCAUCAGAAGCGGAGUAAAGAUUUAUCGGUGUAGGAUGGGGAUGCGUCCGAUUAGCUGGUUGGUGUGGUAACGGCUCACCAAGGCUACGAUCGGUAGGGGUUCUGAGAGGAAGGUCCCCCACACUGGAACUGAGACACGGUCCAGACUCCUACGGGAGGCAGCAGUGAGGAAUAUUGGUCAAUGGGCGGAAGCCUGAACCAGCCAAGUAGCGUGCAGGAUGACGGCCCUAUGGGUUGUAAACUGCUUUUAUGCGGGAAUAAUGUCGGACACGCGUGUCUGCUUGCAUGUACCGCAUGAAUAAGGACCGGCUAAUUCCGUGCCAGCAGCCGCGGUAAUACGGAAGGUUCGGGCGUUAUCCGGAUUUAUUGGGUUUAAAGGGAGCGUAGGCCGCUGUUCAAGCGUGUCGUGAAAUGCGGUUGCUCAACGAUCGCACUGCGGCGCGAACUGUCCGGCUUGAGUCAAGUGAAAGUAGGCGGAAUUCGUGGUGUAGCGGUGAAAUGCUUAGAUAUCACGAGGAACUCCGAUUGCGAAGGCAGCUUACUGUAGUUGUACUGACGCUGAAGCUCGAAGGUGCGGGUAUCGA
This 725-nucleotide ribosomal RNA is filed under the name uncultured bacterium. Its description in RNAcentral is "bacterial SSU rRNA". It matches the Rfam family "Bacterial small subunit ribosomal RNA", at positions 56 to 771 of the family's 1533-position model. The record is from RNAcentral.